CACGAACCGUACAAACGUUACUCGGAUUUACUGGGCUUAAAGGGUGCGUAGGCGGCUUGUUAAGUUGGGUGUGAAAGCCCUCGGCUCAACCGAGGAAUUGCGCUCAAAACUGGCGAGCUUGAGGGAGACAGAGGUGAGCGGAACUUAGGGUGGAGCGGUGAAAUGCGUUGAUAUCCUAAGGAACACCAGGGGCGAAAGCGGCUCACUGGGUCUCUUCUGACGCUGAGGCACGAAAGCUGGGGGAGCGAAGAGGAUUAGAUACCCUCGUAGUCCCAGCCGUAAACGAUGAGCACUAGAUCGGAGGGUCCUCCAUAGCCUUCUGGUCGUAGCGAAAGUGUUAAGUGCUCCGCCUGGGGAGUAUGGUCGCAAGGCUGAA
Molecule: ribosomal RNA, 376 nt
Filed under: uncultured bacterium
Lineage: Bacteria
Description: bacterial SSU rRNA
Rfam family: Bacterial small subunit ribosomal RNA
Source: RNAcentral